Molecule: ribosomal RNA, 250 nt
Filed under: uncultured bacterium
Lineage: Bacteria
Description: partial 16S ribosomal RNA
Rfam family: Bacterial small subunit ribosomal RNA
Source: RNAcentral
ACGUAUGUCGCAAGCGUUAUCCGGAUUUAUUGGGCGUAAAGCGCGUCUAGGUGGUUUGGUAAGUCUGAUGUGAAAAUGCGGGGCUCAACUCCGUAUUGCGUUGGAAACUGUCAAACUAGAGUACUGGAGAGGUGGGCGGAACUACAAGUGUAGAGGUGAAAUUCGUAGAUAUUUGUAGGAAUGCCGAUGGAGAAGUCAGCCCACUGGACAGAUACUGACGCUGAAGCGCGAAAGCGUGGGUAGCAAACAG